UACGAAGGGGGCUAGCGUUGCUCGGAAUCACUGGGCGUAAAGCGCACGUAGGCGGAUUGCUAAGUCAGGGGUGGAAUCCUGGAGCUCAACUCCAGAACUGCCCUUGAUACUGGCGGUCUCGAGUCCGGGAGAGGUGAGUGGAACUGCGAGUGUAGAGGUGAAAUUCGUAGAUAUUCGCAAGAACACCAGUGGCGAAGGCGGCUCACUGGCCCGGUACUGACGCUGAGGUGCGAAAGCGUGGGGAGCAAACAGG
This 253-nucleotide ribosomal RNA is filed under the name uncultured bacterium. Its description in RNAcentral is "partial 16S ribosomal RNA". It matches the Rfam family "Bacterial small subunit ribosomal RNA", at positions 524 to 776 of the family's 1533-position model. The record is from RNAcentral.